AGAGUUUGAUCCUGGCUCAGAUUGAACGCUGGCGGUAUGCUUAACACAUGCAAGUCGAACGGAAACGAUACUAGCUUGCUAGUAGGCGUCGAGUGGCGGACGGGUGAGUAACGCGUAGGAAUCUGCCUGAUAGUGGGGGAUAGCCCGAAGAAAUUCGGAUUAAUACCGCAUAAUCUAUUCGUAGUAAAGUGGGGGACUUUCGAGCCUCACGCUAUCAGAUGAGCCCAAGUCAGAUUAGCUUGUUGGUGAGGUAAAAGCUCACCAAGGCUACGAUCUGUAGCUGGUCUGAGAGGACGAUCAGCCACACUGGGACUGAGACACGGCCCAGACUCCUACGGGAGGCAGCAGUGGGGAAUAUUGCACAAUGGGCGCAAGCCUGAUGCAGCAAUACCGCGUGUGUGAAGAAGGCCUUAGGGUUGUAAAGCACUUUCAAUAGAGAAGAAAAGCUUAGAGUUAAUAACUCUGAGCAUUGACGUAACCUAUAGAAGAAGCACCGGCUAAAUCCGUGCCAGCAGCCGCGGUAAUACGGAUGGUGCGAGCGUUAAUCGGAAUUACUGGGCGUAAAGCGCGCGUAGGCUGUUUUAUAAGUCGGAUGUGAAAUCCCCGGGCUCAACCUGGGAACUGCAUCCGAAACUAUUUAACUAGAGUAUGGGAGAGGUAAGUAGAAUUUCCGGUGUAGCGGUGAAAUGCGUAGAUAUCGGAAGGAAUACCAGUGGCGAAGGCGGCUUACUGGACCAAUACUGACGCUGAGGUGCGAAAGCGUGGGGAGCGAACAGGAUUAGAUACCCUGGUAGUCCACGCUGUAAACGAUGUCAACUAGCCGUUGGAAGGGUAAUCCUUUUAGUGGCGUAGCUAACGCGCUAAGUUGACCGCCUGGGGAGUACGGUCGCAAGAUUAAAACUCAAAUGAAUUGACGGGGGCCCGCACAAGCGGUGGAGCAUGUGGUUUAAUUCGACGCAACGCGAAGAACCUUACCUGGUCUUGACAUCCUACGAACUUUCCAGAGAUGGAUUGGUGCCUUCGGGAACGUAGUGACAGGUGCUGCAUGGCUGUCGUCAGCUCGUGUCGUGAGAUGUUGGGUUAAGUCCCGUAACGAGCGCAACCCUUGUCCUUAUUUGCCAGCAUUUAGUUGGGAACUCUAGGGAGACUGCCGGUGACAAACCGGAGGAAGGUGGGGACGACGUCAAGUCAUCAUGGCCCUUACGACCAGGGCUACACACGUGCUACAAUGGAGCGUACAGAGGGUCGCGACCCUGCGAAGGUGAGCUAAUCCCAGAAAACGUUUCGUAGUCCGGAUUGCAGUCUGCAACUCGACUGCAUGAAGUCGGAAUCGCUAGUAAUCGCGAAUCAGCAUGUCGCGGUGAAUACGUUCCCGGGCCUUGUACACACCGCCCGUCACACCAUGGGAGUGGGUUGCAAAAGAAGUGGGUAGUCUAACUUCGGAGGACGCUCACCACUUUGUGAUUCAUGACUGGGGUGAAGUCGUAACAAGGUAACC
RNAcentral lists this ribosomal RNA (1498 nucleotides) under uncultured bacterium. Its description in RNAcentral is "16S ribosomal RNA". It matches the Rfam family "Bacterial small subunit ribosomal RNA". The record is from RNAcentral.